CCUACGGGUGGCUGCAGUGGGGAAUAUUGGACAAUGGGCGAAAGCCUGAUCCAGCCAUGCCGCGUGUGUGAAGAAGGCCUUGGGGUUGUAAAGCACUUUCAGUGGGGAAGAAAGCCUUGGGGCUAAUACCCUCGAGGAAGGACAUCACCCACAGAAGAAGCACCGGCUAACUCCGUGCCAGCAGCCGCGGUAAUACGGAGGGUGCGAGCGUUAAUCGGAAUUACUGGGCGUAAAGCGCGCGUAGGCGGUCUGAUAAGCCGGUUGUGAAAGCCCCGGGCUCAACCUGGGAACGGCAUCCGGAACUGUCAGGCUAGAGUGCAGGAGAGGAAGGUAGAAUUCCCGGUGUAGCGGUGAAAUGCGUAGAGAUCGGGAGGAAUACCAGUGGCGAAGGCGGCCUUCUGGACUGACACUGACGCUGAGGUGCGAAAGCGUGGGUAGCAAACAGGAUUAGAUACCCCAGUAGUC
Molecule: ribosomal RNA, 465 nt
Filed under: Vreelandella stevensii
Lineage: Bacteria; Pseudomonadati; Pseudomonadota; Gammaproteobacteria; Oceanospirillales; Halomonadaceae
Description: partial 16S ribosomal RNA
Rfam family: Bacterial small subunit ribosomal RNA
Source: RNAcentral